CGAACGCUGGCGGCAGGCUUAACACAUGCAAGUCGAACGGUUGUAGCAAUACAGCAGUGGCAGACGGGUGAGUAACACGUGGGAACCUUCCUAGGGGUACGGAACAACUCAGGGAAACUUGAGCUAAUACCGUAUACGUCCGUGAGGAGAAAGAUUUAUCGCCCUUAGACGGGCCCGCGUCGGAUUAGCUAGUUGGUGGGGUAACGGCCCACCAAGGCGACGAUCCGUAGCUGAUCUUAGAGGAUGAUCAGCCACACUGGGACUGAGACACGGCCCAGACUCCUAUGGGAGGCAGCAGUGGGGAAUCUUGGACAAUGGGCGCAAGCCUGAUCCAGCCAUGCCGCGUGAGUGAUGAAGGCCUUCGGGUUGUAAAGCUCUUUGGCGGGGUACGAUGAUGACGGUACCCGCAGAAUAAGCCCGGCUAACUUCGUGCCAGCAG
This 439-nucleotide ribosomal RNA is filed under the name uncultured bacterium. RNAcentral describes it as "bacterial SSU rRNA". It matches the Rfam family "Bacterial small subunit ribosomal RNA", at positions 30 to 514 of the family's 1533-position model. The record is from RNAcentral.